GGAAGAUCGACUCGUCGUCAGAGGGCGGCGUGCGCACCGCGACUUCCUGCUGAGAACCUCGCCGCCAGGGGUCCGCGCGCAUCCUGUCGCUGUCGCUGUCGCUCGUCGCAUCAUGGACGCGAAGCACAAGCCGCCGACCGACCCUGAGCGGAGCGGUGGCCGGAGGCGGCGUGGAAGCGGGGUGUUCGGGAGGGACGCGGCGCGGCUGGACCGGAGGCUCUCCGCCUCUCAGCCCGACCUGCGCGCCCCUCGGCCGGUGCCCGAGGAGACGCCCGGAGAGGUGGAGGAUGUUGGGGAGUCGCAGGGCAGCCAGGCGUCCGCCGGCUCGGUGUCCCACGAUGCCACCCAGGAUGCAGAGGACAAACGACUGACGGACGGAGACCUGGGCAUCGAUGCAGGUACUGGAAGUAUUGCUCAGCCUGCGUUUCCCAGUCCAGGGAUGUACCAGCUGGACAUUGUGCUGAAAAGAGGACACAAUCUGGCAAUAAGAGACAGAGGAGGAACAAGUGAUCCAUAUGUCAAGUUUAAGGUCUCAGGUAAAGAAUUUUAUCGCAGCAAAAUCAUUUACAAGAACCUCAACCCAGUGUGGGACGAAAAGGUCCGACUCCUAGUUGACAGCCUUUAUGAACCCCUCUAUUUGAAGGUGUUUGACUAUGACUUUGGGCCUCAUGAUGACUUCAUUGGAUCUGCUCACCUCUACCUUGAAUCUCUAGAGCAUCACAGAGCUCUGAACUUAAUGCUUGACCUGAAGGACCCUAAUCUCCCACAGGAGGCCCUGGGUUCCCUUGAGCUAUCUAUCACAGUGACUCCUAAAGACAUUGAUGACAGCGAGGCUCAUCAACAGCAGCAGAUCCUUCGACUGUCAGACAUACACAGGAAGCCUCAACUGUUGAGUGGGAUAGUGAGCAUCAGUCUCAUUGAGGGUCAUGACCUCACACCCAUGGAUGAAAAUGGACUCAGUGAUCCUUAUGUGAAGUUCAAGCUUGGACAACAGAAGUAUAGGAGCAAGACAAUUUUCAAAACUCUAAACCCACAGUGGAGGGAGCACUUUGACCUGCAUAUGUAUGAAGAUGAGGGGAAGAUCCUAGACAUAUCACUGUGGGACAGAGACACAGGGAGAAGAGACGACUUCAUUGGCCAAUGCCAAGUAGACCUGUCCACGCUAAGUAAGGAGGUCACACAUAAGCUAGAUCUCCCUCUAGAGGAGGGCCAGGGUACACUGGUGCUGCUGGUGACCCUGACCGCAACCACGGCUGUUGCUGUCUCAGACCUCACCGUCAACAAUUUGGAUGACCCUGAUGAGCGGCAACAGAUUCUGAAGAGAUAUGUGAGUACUCUUAAUCUUCUCAGGUCUUUUCUUAACCUGAAGGACGUCGGUUUUGUUCAGAUCAAGGUCAUACGAGCGGAGGGACUGCUGGCAGCUGAUGUCACAGGAAAGAGCGACCCGUUCUGCGUGGUGGAGCUGUGCAACGAUCGGCUGAAGACACACACGGUCUACAAGAACCUCAGUCCGGAGUGGAAUAAAGUCUUCACCUUCAACAUUAAAGACAUCAACGCUGUGCUUGAGGUGACUGUGUACGACGAGGACCGGGACCGAAGUGCAGAUUUCCUGGGCAAAGUGGCCAUUCCUUUACUACAAAUUCACAACGGCGAACAGAAGGCCUACGUCUUGAAAAACAAGGAGCUGACAGGGCCAACAAAGGGGGUCAUCUUCCUCGAAACAGACGUCAUUUUCAAUGUGGUGAAGGCUAGCCUGAGGACCUUGAAGCCACUAGAACAGAAAUACAUUGAAGAUGAGCAGAAAGUCUCCAAACAGCUGUUGCAGCACCACUUUGCCCGGGCAAAGUGCUGCAUCAUGCUCCUAAUUAACAUGGGCUCCUACAUCAACAGCUGCUUCAAGUGGGAAUCUCCUCUGAGAAGUAUUUGUGCCUUUCUGAUCUUUGUUGUGGUUGUGUGGAACUUUGAAAUCUACAUGAUCCCACUCUCUUUACUGCUGCUCCUGGCAUGGAACUACCUCCUGCUGGCUUCUGGGUGGAAGUCCUCUGAGGGUGAUGUGGUGACUAUGGGCCUAUGUUUAAAUAUAAUUUAUGUUUCUCUGUGUGUGCCACAGGAAUCUGAGAAAAAAGGUUUAAUGGAAAGGUUGCAUGCCCUUCAGGACGUGUGCAUCACCAUUCAGAAUGGCUUGGACCAGAUCGCUUCCACCAGCGAGAGGAUAAAGAACGUUUUCAACUGGACCGUGCCUUUUCUCAGCUGGCUGGCCAUCACACUGCUGUGUGCGGCCACUGUGCUGAUCUACUUCAUCCCCAUCAGAUACCUUGUGUUGGCCUGGGGUAUCAAUAAAUUCUCCAAGAAGUUGCGUAGCCCCACUGAGAUAGACAACAACGAACUGCUAGACUUCCUCUCCAGGGUGCCAUCAGACAUGCAAGUGAUUCAGUACAGAGAGCUGAAACUGGACCAGAGUUCAAACAAGCGGCGACGAAAUAACCCAGGCUAGCCUCUGACCUUGCAGUUUUUUUUACUUUCAAUGUUCAGUACAAUGCUUCAUGAGCAAAAUGUAAUGUAAACAACACUGUAAAUGAUGUAAAGAUUUUAUGUGGUGUAUCGGUAGUACAGUCGUGGGCAAAUGUUUUGAGAAUAACACAAAUACUGGUUUUCACAAAGUUUGCUGUUUCAAUGUUUUAGAUAUUUUUGUCAGUUGUUUCUGUGGUGUAUCGAAGUAUAAUGUCAAGCAUUUUAUAAGUUUCAAUGGGUUUUAUUGACAAUUACAUCAAAGAGUCAAUAUUUCCUGGCCAUUGACCCAAAUUUUCAAUGUUUUGUUUAGUUAUCAUUUUGGCCUUAUGGCACAGUGCUCCAUCAUGCUGGAAAAGGCAUUGUUCUUCACCAAACUAUUCUCGGACCAAACUGUUGUACCAUUUUCUUGUUCUUUUUGUACCAUUCUUUAUUCAUGGCCGUGUCCCUUGGAUGAGAAGCAGCACCACACAUGAAUGGUCUCAGGAUGCUUUACUGUUGGCACAAGACAGGACUGAUGGUAGCGCUCACCUUUUCAUCUCCAGACAGUAAUUUUUCCAGAUGCCCCAAACAAUCAGAAAGGGGCUUCAUCAGAGAAAAUGACUUUACCCCAGUUCUCAGCAGUCCAAUCCCUGUACGUUUUGCAAAAUAGAAGUCUGUCCUUGACAUUUUUAUUGGAGAAAUGUGGCUUCUUUACUGCCCUUCUUGACACCAUGCCAUUCUCCAGUAGUUUUCGCCUCACUGUGUGUGCAGAUGCAGAUGACUGCUGCCAUUCCUGAUCAAGGUCUGAACUGAUGGUACCCUGAUCCCACAACUGAAUAAUCUUUAGGAGACGGUCCUUGCUGGACUUUCUUGGGCAACACUUGAACCUCUCUCCUUGAAGUUGAUGAUCCAAUAAAUGGUUGGUUUAGGUGCA
Long non-coding RNA from Denticeps clupeoides (denticle herring), 3424 nucleotides. NCBI's taxonomy places the organism in Eukaryota, Metazoa, Chordata, Actinopteri, Clupeiformes, Denticipitidae. The record is from Ensembl.